UUGAUAUGUGUAUGUAUAAAUUAGUCUACACAUAUAUAUAUAUAUGCUCCCCUUUGCGAUAUAUCGUUUCAGUCGUCAUACAAUCAGAUUGACGAUUCGAUUAUUGCUCGUCUACAU
Small nucleolar RNA from Cornus florida, 117 nucleotides. RefSeq annotates it as small nucleolar RNA snoR111. The transcript has a single exon. The record is from RefSeq and is a predicted model, not a curated record. Lineage: Eukaryota; Viridiplantae; Streptophyta; Magnoliopsida; Cornales; Cornaceae.